GCGAAUUGCAGGAUUCAGUGAGUCAUCGAAAUUUUGAACGCAUAUUGCACUUCCGGGUUAGUCCUGGAAGUAUGCCUGUAUCAGUGUCCGUACAUCAAACUUGGUUUUCUUCCUUCCGUGUAGUCGGUGGAGGAUAUGCCAGAUGUGAAGUGUCUUGCGGCUGGCUUUCGGGUCGGCUGCGAGUCCUUUUAAAUGUACAGAACUGUACUUCUCUUUGCUCAAAAAGUAUGGCGUUUGCUGGUUGUGGAGGCUGCCCAUGUGGCCAGUCGGCGACCGGUUUGUCUGCUGCGGUGUUUUACUGGAGGAGUGUUCGAUUCGCGGUAUGGUUGGCUUCGGCUGAACAGACGCUUAUUGGAAGUUUUUCCUGCUGUGGCGUGAUGGACUGGUGAACCGUAACUAUGUGAGGCUUGGCUUUUGAACUGGUGAUACUAUUUCGAAGUAGAGUGGCGGCUUCGGCUGCCGAGGGGUCCAUCCAUUUUGGGAAAUUUUGUGUGUACUUCGGUAUGCAUCUCAAUUGGACCUGAUAUCAGGCAA
This is a ribosomal RNA of 534 nucleotides. The stretch from base 1 to 89 matches the Rfam family "5.8S ribosomal RNA", at positions 67 to 154 of the family's 154-position model.